CUACGGGUGGCUGCAGUAAGGAAUAUUGCGCAAUGGAGGCAACUCUGACGCAGCCAUGCCGCGUGCAGGAAGAAGGCCUUAUGGGUCGUAAACUGCUUUUAUUUAGGAAUAAACCCCCGAACGUGUUCGGGGCUGAAGGUACUAAACGAAUAAGCACCGGCUAACUCCGUGCCAGCAGCCGCGGUAAUACGGAGGGUGCAAGCGUUAUCCGGAUUUAUUGGGUUUAAAGGGUGCGCAGGCGGGCUAUUAAGUCAGUGGUGAAAUCCCGGGGCUCAACUCCGGAACUGCCAUUGAUACUGAUAGUCUUGAGUUUGGUUGAAGUGGGUGGAAUGUAGCAUGUAGCGGUGAAAUGCAUAGAUAUGCUACAGAACACCAAUCGCGAAGGCAGCUCACUAAGCCAAAACUGACGCUCAUGCACGAAAGCGUGGGGAUCAAACAGGAUUAGAUACCCCGGUAGUC
This 459-nucleotide ribosomal RNA is filed under the name uncultured bacterium. Its description in RNAcentral is "partial 16S ribosomal RNA". It matches the Rfam family "Bacterial small subunit ribosomal RNA", at positions 339 to 795 of the family's 1533-position model. The record is from RNAcentral.